This 30-nucleotide non-coding RNA is filed under the name Rattus norvegicus (Norway rat). The record is from RNAcentral. Lineage: Eukaryota; Metazoa; Chordata; Mammalia; Rodentia; Muridae.
UAGGACAAUCCCUUAGUCUGUUUUAGGAGA